RNAcentral lists this small RNA (106 nucleotides) under Paraburkholderia bryophila. The record is from RNAcentral. Lineage: Bacteria; Pseudomonadati; Pseudomonadota; Betaproteobacteria; Burkholderiales; Burkholderiaceae.
GACGACGGCAUCGUCGCGCUCGUGCUGAAGGGCGCGGGCGCCAAAGGCUUUUGCGCCGGCGGCGACGUGCGCGAAGUGCAAAAGCUGGCGAAAAACGCCGACAGCC